UUGUUGUUGAGCCUUGGGCGGACAGGGGAGGCUCUGUCCGUUUGGCGUCUGUUCGACGCUCUCGAACCGGCCAAAAGGAUCAGGCUCGGGGCGUGACACUGGGACUACGAAACCUUCGCCAUCUAAUGGGGGCCAUUAGUUUGAGAGAGAUAGAGGGAGAUACCAUAGUGCGCAGGAGAAGGUAAGGGAGAAAAUUGAUGUUGAUAGAGAAGAGCAAAAAAAAAAAAAAAAAAAAAAAAAAAAAAAAAAAAAAAAAAAAAGAAAAGAGAAGCGAGAUGAGAUAGGGAAGGGGCGGUAUGGAGAUGGAGAGGCGACGGUUGUAAUUGUAUUGAGACCGUGGAUGCAUUAAUUAGGAUGGUGGAGAGAAGGCGAAGAGUCGUGUACAUUUUUAAAAGUGUGAACUGUUUUCUCAAAUUAGCUAUGUAUGACAUGUCAUUUAAGUAUUGAGCUUUAAUGAAAAGACAAAGUAACAAAGGUUAAAUCAUCUCCCUAAAAUAAGGAGAGUAUGCCAAAUUAGUUUAAAUAUUGAGCUUUCAUAUAGUUUAAUAGAUAAUAGAUAAAUUAAUAGAUGGGUCUCACAUAUUAAGAUAAAACGACACGUGGAAGAAGGUAGGGAGAUUUAAUUAUAAUUAUAAUAAUUAUAAUUAUUAUAAUAAUAAUAUAAUAAUUAUAGUUAUAUUUAUUAUAAUAUAAUAAUUAUAAUAAUUAAUUAAUAAUUAAUAAUAUAGAAUAUAGAUUAAUAAAAUAAUAAAUAAUAGAUAAGAAGGAACAGAUUAAUAUAGAUUAAUAGAUAAUAGAUAAUAGAUAUUAGAUUAAUACAUUAAUCAAUAAUAGAUAAUAGAUAAUAAAUAAUUGAUUUAAUAGAUAGAUUGGUUUAAUUAUUAUUAUUUUU
This 892-nucleotide long non-coding RNA is filed under the name Ananas comosus (pineapple). Its description in RNAcentral is "long non-coding RNA (ACOM_LNC003069)". The record is from RNAcentral. Lineage: Eukaryota; Viridiplantae; Streptophyta; Magnoliopsida; Poales; Bromeliaceae.